RNAcentral lists this transfer RNA (76 nucleotides) under Opitutales bacterium. Its description in RNAcentral is "tRNA-Thr". It matches the Rfam family "tRNA". Rfam says of the family: Transfer RNA (tRNA) molecules are approximately 80 nucleotides in length. Their secondary structure includes four short double-helical elements and three loops (D, anti-codon, and T loops). Further hydrogen bonds mediate the characteristic L-shaped molecular structure. tRNAs have two regions of fundamental functional importance: the anti-codon, which is responsible for specific mRNA codon recognition, and the 3' end, to which the tRNAs corresponding amino acid is attached (by aminoacyl-tRNA synthetases). tRNAs cope with the degeneracy of the genetic code in two manners: having more than one tRNA (with a specific anti-codon) for a particular amino acid; and 'wobble' base-pairing, i.e. permitting non-standard base-pairing at the 3rd anti-codon position. Lineage: Bacteria; Pseudomonadati; Verrucomicrobiota; Opitutia; Opitutales. The record is from RNAcentral.
GCCCUUGUAGCUCAGUUGGCAGAGCGCAUCCUUGGUAAGGAUGAGGUCGGCGGUUCAAGUCCGCUCGGGGGCUCCA